UUGUCGGCAAAUUAAAAAGCCGAGAGCGGCGGAGGUUUCCGUGGCAGGAUCUGCAAGUCAGCAAACUGCACGACCGAGUUUAAAAACAAAACAAACACAAACGAACAAGGCCUGUCCCAGGGGAGACGGGGGUCUCUGUCUGUGUUGUUGUGAUGCAGCUGGAAGCAGCCGGGUUCCUGCUGUGUAAGAACUACAUCCGGGCAGCCAGGCGAGGGAUCAGUGUGAGCACAGUGUGGCACAGGUCCAGUGAUAAUUAUUAUCAUCUACUGGGAGUGAGACAGGAUGCUUCCCUGGAUCAGAUCAAACAGGCUUUCUUCAAGAGUCCAG
Long non-coding RNA from Polyodon spathula (Mississippi paddlefish), 327 nucleotides. RefSeq lists it as uncharacterized. The transcript is spliced from 3 exons. The record is from RefSeq and is a predicted model, not a curated record. Lineage: Eukaryota; Metazoa; Chordata; Actinopteri; Acipenseriformes; Polyodontidae.